Molecule: ribosomal RNA, 304 nt
Filed under: uncultured bacterium
Lineage: Bacteria
Description: partial 16S ribosomal RNA
Rfam family: Bacterial small subunit ribosomal RNA
Source: RNAcentral
CAGCAGUCGCCGCGGUAAAACGUAGGUGGCAAGCGUUGUCCGGAAUUAUUGGGCGUAAAGGGCUCGCAGGCGGUUUCUUAAGUCUGAUGUGAAAGCCCCCGGCUCAACCGGGGAGGGUCAUUGGAAACUGGGAAACUUGAGUGCAGAAGAGGAGAGUGGAAUUCCACGUGUAGCGGUGAAAUGCGUAGAGAUGUGGAGGAACACCAGUGGCGAAGGCGACUCUCUGGUCUGUAACUGACGCUGAGGAGCGAAAGCGUGGGGAGCGAACAGGAUUAGAUACCCCUGUAGUCCCUGUCUCUUAUAA